AUGCUCCCUUCAGGAGCACAUGUACUAAAAUUGGAGCAAUACAGAAAAGAUUAGCACAACCCCUGCCCAAGGAUGACACAUGAAUUCCUGAAGCAUUCCAUAUUUAG
Nannospalax galili (Upper Galilee mountains blind mole rat) is the source of this 107-nucleotide small nuclear RNA. The record is from Ensembl. NCBI's taxonomy places the organism in Eukaryota, Metazoa, Chordata, Mammalia, Rodentia, Spalacidae.